AGGAGGCAGACCACCAAUCUCCACUAAUUUUGGUAAGCUUAAUCAUUACUUGUCUUACCCAACUCAAUUUCAGUCGAUUUAAGUCUAAUCAAAAUCUCUCCCUUUGUGUUCUUCGAUCACUGCUAUGUCAUCACCGUAAGCCCCUUUGUUUUCGAUGAGGAUUCAGAAAUGCAACAACCUUAGAGACCUGCAUUUGGUCUCCGGCGACGAGGUGAGCUUAGGAGGGAAGCUAGAGCAAUAGAGUAGAAACUCGGGCUUGGUGGUGUUGUUAUGAUAAUGGUAGCAGCUCGAGUUGAAUCCGAGGAGUGCAGUGGUCUUCGAUUUCCUUUCAUGGUUUCUUUAAGGUUAGUCUAUGGCAAGACAUGCCAUUUUCCUGUGGAGCUUCAACAUUGAGCUUGAUGGGCGGUAAAGAACGUUUACAUGGAUAUUGAUGAGGCCGGAAUGCAUAGGAAGUUACAAUUACAAGAGCUUGAAGAGAUUCGAAAUGAUGCCUACGAUUCGGCAGCGAUUCCUAAAGAGAAGACUAAAGCGUUCCAUGAUCGCAUGAUUCGUCAGAAAGACUUUGUCGUUGGGCUAAAAGUUUUAUUGUUUCAUUCUGGACUUCAGUUAUUUCAUGGUAAGUUAUGUUCUAGAUGGU
Molecule: long non-coding RNA, 637 nt
Organism: Argentina anserina (silverweed cinquefoil)
Lineage: Eukaryota; Viridiplantae; Streptophyta; Magnoliopsida; Rosales; Rosaceae
Exons: 3
Source: RefSeq, a predicted model, not a curated record